This 349-nucleotide ribosomal RNA is filed under the name uncultured bacterium. RNAcentral describes it as "bacterial SSU rRNA". It matches the Rfam family "Bacterial small subunit ribosomal RNA", at positions 917 to 1269 of the family's 1533-position model. The record is from RNAcentral.
GGGCCCGCACAAGCGGUGGAGCAUGUGGUUUAAUUCGAUGAUACGCGAGGAACCUUACCAGGGCUUAAAUGUAGUCUGACAGGACUGGAAACAGUUUUUUCUUCGGACUCAUUACAAGGUGCUGCAUGGUUGUCGUCAGCUCGUGCCGUGAGGUGUCAGGUUAAGUCCUAUAACGAGCGCAACCCCUAUCGUUAGUUGCCAGCGGGUCAUGCCGGGAACUCUAGCGAAACUGCCGGUGCAAACCGAGAGGAAGGUGGGGAUGACGUCAAAUCAUCACGGCCCUUACGUCCUGGCCACACACGUGCUACAAUGGCCGGUACAGAGAGCAGCCACUACGCGAGUAGGAGCG